Molecule: ribosomal RNA, 432 nt
Filed under: uncultured bacterium
Lineage: Bacteria
Description: partial 16S ribosomal RNA
Rfam family: Bacterial small subunit ribosomal RNA
Source: RNAcentral
AACGAACGCUGGCGGCAUGCCUAACACAUGCAAGUCGAACGAGACCUUCGGGUCUAGUGGCGCACGGGUGCGUAACGCGUGGGAACCUGCCCUUAGGUUCGGAAUAACUCCCCGAAAGGGGUGCUAAUACCGGAUAAUGUCUUCGGACCAAAGAUUUAUCGCCUUUGGAUGGGCCCGCGUUGGAUUAGCUAGUUGGUAGGGUAAAAGCCUACCAAGGCGACGAUCCAUAGCUGGUCUGAGAGGAUGAUCAGCCACACUGGGACUGAGACACGGCCCAGACUCCUACGGAAGGCAGCAGGGGGGAAUAUUGGACAAUGGGCGAAAGCCUGAUCCAGCAAUGCCGCGUGAGUGAUGAAGGCCUUAGGGUUGUAAAGCUCUUUUACCCGGGAUGAUAAUGACAGUACCGGGAGAAUAAGCUCCGGCUAACUCCGU